GGGGCUGUGGCUCAAUGAUUAGGCAUCUGCUUGGUAUGCCGAAGGUCCCAGGUUCGAUUCCUGGCAUCUCCA
RNAcentral lists this transfer RNA (72 nucleotides) under Sphaerodactylus townsendi. RNAcentral describes it as "tRNA-Thr". It matches the Rfam family "tRNA". From Rfam's summary of the family: Transfer RNA (tRNA) molecules are approximately 80 nucleotides in length. Lineage: Eukaryota; Metazoa; Chordata; Lepidosauria; Squamata; Sphaerodactylidae. The record is from RNAcentral.